This 1219-nucleotide long non-coding RNA is filed under the name Melopsittacus undulatus (budgerigar). Its description in RNAcentral is "lncRNA (ENSMUNG00000022170.1)". Lineage: Eukaryota; Metazoa; Chordata; Aves; Psittaciformes; Psittaculidae. The record is from RNAcentral.
UCUCCCCCUCCCCCCUUUAUCCCCCCCCACAUCCCCCUCCCCUCCCCCCUCCAUCCCCCCCCUCUAUCCCCCCUCCCCCCUCUCUCCCCCUCCCUCCCCUCCCGCUACCUUCCUCUCGGCUCCUCUGGGGUCUCCUCAGCGGAGGGGGGAGGGGCAGGGGGGGGGGGAGGGGGCGUCCGAACCUCCCUCCCCUCCCCCCCCCCACCCCCACCCCCACAACGAGGCCUACGCGGGGGGGGCUCACGGGGGGCGUCGGCCCAUGGUGGUGCCUAUGCGCCUGCGCACACCGGGGUCAACCGGGGGUCAUCAGGGGUCAAUCCGGGGUCAUCCGGGGGUCACGGGGGGCACCGGGACCCCCCCCCCCCUCCCCCAUCCUCUCCCUACCGGCCGCUCCCGCCUCCCGCCGCUCCAUGGUGAUGACGCACUUCCGGGUAGGCGCGCGCAGGGCCGGAAGUGGCGCUGCCCCCUGGCGGCGGGGGGGAGUCGCGGCGUGAGGGGUGUGCGUGGUGACGUCAACGCGUGGCCACGCCCACCACGUACGUCACGGUAUAAAAGAGGGGGGGACUUCCGGUUGUGGCCAGUCGUGUUCCUGUAGGCCUCGGGGAAGCGUCCGCGGUCAUGUGACCGGAUGCUCAACUUCCGGUUCCGCCUCUUCCGGUUCUAUGGGGACCGGUGCAGGUGCGGUUCGCAGUGGUGGAGGCCGGACCGGACCAUGAUGCUGAGCGGGGGGGGGGCCCAUUGGCGACCCCCGUCCGGAACAGCUCCAUGAGGGCGGCCGCGCAUGCGCGGGAGGGGCCGGAGCCGUUCGACGCCCCCCGCGCAUGCGCGGAGCUGCUGGGGACCUCGUUCGCUGCGCGCUGCGCGGUGGGGGGGGCGGCGGGGGGAGCCAUGAACGUCCCCCCCUCCCACCGCCUCUAUCGUGGCCUCAUCAGCCUCUCCGUGCCCCCCCCCCGUGGGGCCCAGGAGGGGGGCUCUGCCCCAUAGCACACCCCAUAAGGUUCCGGGUCCUACCAUUGCCACCCCAAGGGGGGGGGAGGAGGAGCCUUGGCUGCCCCCCCCCUCCCCCAUCGCCCCCCCCCGGCCCCUCCCCCGCCCCCCCGGAGCUGCCUUCGUCAUGUACCGGAAGCUGCAGCAGUGGGGGGGGGGCUGAGGGGGGGUCACCCCCUGCCCCUCCCCCCCCCCUUCCCCCCCCCCCCCCCCUAUACACCCCUCCCCCCCC